This is a small nuclear RNA of Loxodonta africana (African savanna elephant), 107 nucleotides long. The record is from Ensembl. NCBI's taxonomy places the organism in Eukaryota, Metazoa, Chordata, Mammalia, Proboscidea, Elephantidae.
GUGCUCGCUUCAGCAGCACAUAUACUAAAAUUGGAACAAUACAGAGAAGAUUAGCAUUGCCCCUGCUCAAGGAUGACAUGCAAAUUCAUGAAGCAUUCCAUAUUUUU